GAUGAACGCUGGCGGCGUGCCUAAUACAUGCAAGUCGAGCGAAAAGAUAAGGAGCUUGCUCCUUUGACGUUAGCGGCGGACGGGUGAGUAACACGUGGGUAACCUACCUAUAAGACUGGAAUAACUCCGGGAAACCGGGGCUAAUGCCGGAUAACAUUUAGAACCGCAUGGUUCUAAAGUGAAAGCUGGUUUUGCUAUCACUUCUAGAUGGACCCGCGCCGUAUUAGCUAGUUGGUAAGGUAACGGCUUACCAAGGCAACGAUACGUAGCCGACCUGAGAGGGGGUUCGGCCACACUGGAACUGAGACACGGUCCAGAGUCCUACGGGAGGCAGCAGUAGGGAAUCUUCCGCGAUGUGCGAAAGCCUGACGAAGCAACGCCGGGUGAGUGAUGAGGGUCUGCGGAUCGUAAGACUCUGUUAUUAUGGAAGAACAAAUUUGUAAGUAACUGUGCACGUCUUGACAGUACCUAAUCAGAAAGCCACGGCUAACUACGUG
This 497-nucleotide ribosomal RNA is filed under the name uncultured bacterium. RNAcentral's name for it is "partial 16S ribosomal RNA". It matches the Rfam family "Bacterial small subunit ribosomal RNA", at positions 28 to 507 of the family's 1533-position model. The record is from RNAcentral.